Molecule: ribosomal RNA, 519 nt
Filed under: uncultured bacterium
Lineage: Bacteria
Description: bacterial SSU rRNA
Rfam family: Bacterial small subunit ribosomal RNA
Source: RNAcentral
UAGUCCACGCCGUAAACGAUGGAUACUAGCUGUCCGGUCUUCGGACUGGGCGGCCAAGCGAAAGUGAUAAGUAUCCCACCUGGGGAGUACGUUCGCAAGAAUGAAACUCAAAGGAAUUGACGGGGGCCCGCACAAGCGGUGGAGCAUGUGGUUUAAUUCGAUGAUACGCGAGGAACCUUACCAGGGCUUAAAUGUAGAUUGACAGGUUUAGAGAUAGACUUUUCUUCGGACAAUUUACAAGGUGCUGCAUGGUUGUCGUCAGCUCGUGCCGUGAGGUGUCAGGUUAAGUCCUAUAACGAGCGCAACCCCUGCCGUUAGUUGCCAGCAUUUAAAGAUGGGGACUCUAACGGGACUGCCGGUGCAAACCGCGAGGAAGGUGGGGACGACGUCAAAUCAUCACGGCCCUUACGUCCUGGGCUACACACGUGCUACAAUGGCCGGUACAGAGAGUUGCCACAUCGCAAGAUGGAGCGGAUCUUUUAAAACCGGUCACAGUUCGGAUCGGGGUCUGCAACUCGA